AGAGUUUGAUCAUGGCUCAGGACGAACGCUGGCGGCGCGCCUAACACAUGCAAGUCGAACGAGCGAGAGGGCUUGCUUUCUCGAGCGAGUGGCGAACGGGUGAGUAACGCGUGAGGAACCUGCCUCAAAGAGGGGGACAACAGUUGGAAACGACUGCUAAUACCGCAUAAGCCCACGGGUCGGCAUCAACCAGAGGGAAAAGGAGCGAUCCGCUUUGAGAUGGCCUCGCGUCCGAUUAGCUAGUUGGUGAGGUAACGGCCACCAAGGCGACGAUCGGUAGCCGGACUGAGAGGCUGAACGGCCACAUUGGGACUGAGACACGGCCCAGACUCCUACGGGAGGCA
Molecule: ribosomal RNA, 344 nt
Filed under: uncultured bacterium
Lineage: Bacteria
Description: bacterial SSU rRNA
Rfam family: Bacterial small subunit ribosomal RNA
Source: RNAcentral